AUUGGGUACCAGGUGAAAACUGAAAAGGUACCAAAAGCACCUCUCCGUAAGACAUGCCCACCAGUGCCAGGACAGUUUACCAUUGCCAUGGCAAU
Long non-coding RNA from Cebus imitator (Panamanian white-faced capuchin), 95 nucleotides. RefSeq lists it as uncharacterized. The transcript is spliced from 3 exons. Lineage: Eukaryota; Metazoa; Chordata; Mammalia; Primates; Cebidae. The record is from RefSeq and is a predicted model, not a curated record.